RNAcentral lists this ribosomal RNA (479 nucleotides) under Hoylesella oralis. RNAcentral describes it as "bacterial SSU rRNA". It matches the Rfam family "Bacterial small subunit ribosomal RNA", at positions 28 to 492 of the family's 1533-position model. The record is from RNAcentral. Lineage: Bacteria; Pseudomonadati; Bacteroidota; Bacteroidia; Bacteroidales; Prevotellaceae.
GAUGAACGCUUAGCUACAGGCUUAACACAUGCAAGUCGCGGGGCAUCAUGGAGGUUGCUUGCAAUUUCUGAUGGCGACCGGCGCACGGGUGAGUAACGCGUACCAACCUUCCCAUUACUACGGCAUACCCCGUUGAAAGGCGGCCUAAUUCCGUAUGCAGUCCGAGGCAGUCAUCUAAUUUGGACGAAAGGUAUAUUCUAUCGGUAAUGGAUGGGGAUGCGCCGAUUACCAGCCGGCGGGGUAACGGCCCACCGGGGCAUUGAUCGGUAGGGGUUCUGAGAGGAAGGUCCCCCACACUGGAACUGAGACACGGUCCAGACUCCUACGGGAGGCAGCAGUGAGGAAUAUUGGUCAAUGGGCGUAAGCCUGAACCAGCCAAGUAGCGUGCAGGAUGACGGCCCUAUGGGUUGUAAACUGCUUUUAUGCGGGGAUAAAGUUGGGGACGUGUCCCUUUUUGCAGGUAACCGCAUGAAUAAGGA